AACGUAGGAGGCGAGCGUUAUCCGGAGUUACUGGGCGUAAAACGCGCGCAGGCGGACUGGUAAGUGACGUGUGAAAGCGCCCGGCUAAACUGGGCGAGGACAGGUCAGACUGCCAGGCUCGAGGCUGGUAGAGGGGUGCAGAAUUCCGGGUGUAGCGGUGAAAUGUGUAGAGAUCCGGAGGAAUACCAGUGGUGCAGACGGCGCCCUGGGCCAGACCUGACGCUGAGGCGCGAAAGCGUGGGGAGCGAACGGG
This 253-nucleotide ribosomal RNA is filed under the name uncultured bacterium. RNAcentral describes it as "partial 16S ribosomal RNA". It matches the Rfam family "Bacterial small subunit ribosomal RNA", at positions 524 to 776 of the family's 1533-position model. The record is from RNAcentral.